GCGACCCCAGGUCAGGCAAGACUACCCGCUGAGUUUAAGCAUAUCAAUAA
This 50-nucleotide ribosomal RNA is filed under the name Scaevola enantophylla. Its description in RNAcentral is "partial 25S ribosomal RNA". Lineage: Eukaryota; Viridiplantae; Streptophyta; Magnoliopsida; Asterales; Goodeniaceae. The record is from RNAcentral.